GAGUUUGAUCAUGGCUCAGAAUCAACGCUGGCGGCGUGCCUCAGACAUGCAAGUCGAACGAUUAAAGCUCCCUUCGGGGAGUGCAUAAAGUGGCGCACGGGUGAGUAACACGUAAGUAAUCUACCCUCGGGUGGGGAAUAACGUUCGGAAACGAACGCUAAUACCGCAUAAUGCAGCGGCACCGCAAGGUGACAGUUGUUAAAGAUUUAUUGCCUGGGGAGGAGCUUGCGGCAGAUUAGCUUGUUGGUAAGGUAACGGCUUACCAAGGCUACGAUCUGUAUCCGGUCUAAGAGGACGGUCGGACACACUGACACUGAAUAACGGGUCAGACUCCUACGGGAGGCAGCAGUCGGGAAUUUUGGGCAAUGGGCGAAAGCCUGACCCAGCAACGCCGCGUGAAGGAUGAAGUAUUUCGGUAUGUAAACUUCGAAAGAAUAGGAAGAAUAAAUGACGGUACUAUUUAUAAGGUCCGGCUAACUACGUGCCAGCAGCCGCGGUAAUGCGUAGGGACCAAGCGUUGUUCGGAUUUACUGGGCGUAAAGGGCGCGUAGGCGGCGUAAUAAGUCUCUUGUGAAAUCUCCGGGCUUAACUCGGAACGGUCAAGUGAUACUGUUGUGCUAGAGUACAGAAA
RNAcentral lists this ribosomal RNA (631 nucleotides) under uncultured bacterium. Its description in RNAcentral is "bacterial SSU rRNA". It matches the Rfam family "Bacterial small subunit ribosomal RNA", at positions 9 to 654 of the family's 1533-position model. The record is from RNAcentral.